AAGACUCAUAAGGUGAUUCACAAUGUGAGAGAACCUCUUUGGCACAUCACAUAUUGAUUCUCCCUUCUGCAUUCUGGGCAUUAAUACUCCUGGAUUAGAACAUGCUUCCUAGCUCUCUUUACACCAUUUGUGCCUUCAUGUGUGACCUCCAAGAUGUCCCACAUUUCUUUGGCCGAGCUACAUUGUGAAACCCUGAAAAACUCAUCACAACUUAGAGCAGAUGUUAUAAUAUUUUUAGCUAUCCAGUCAAACUUAACUUUCUUACAUUCUGCUUCUAUCCAUUCAGAUGAAGGUUUAUCAACUAAAAUAUCAUCUUUCUUAACGUGAGGUACAAAAGGACCAUUUUCAAUUGACUCCCAAAUGCCUUUGUCAGUUGAAUGUAUACAAAUAUUCAUUCUAACUUUCUAAAAUUGGUAAUUAACUCCACAAAACAAAGGUGGUCUGUUUAUUGAGGAUCCUUCCCUAAAGGGCAUUUUAUUAGCCAUCAAAAGAUUUUCAAAAACUUGAGUAACUUUCAAGAACCUUGCUCUUAAUGCCAAUUGUUAGGUAUGAUGGCUACAACAAGAGGGGGGGGGGGGGGGGUUGAAUUGCUUUCAACCUAUUUUCACAAAUGCUUUGCUUAGAAUGAAGCUCUAAUAAACAACUCAGAAAAGCAGUUCAAAAAACCAAUUCAAUAGUCAAAUAGAAAUUGGAAUCGGAAAAUCAAUCGGUUAAAAUUGCGAUUUAACCGGUUGUUUAUGACAGAGAAAAUACAAACAGUUUAAUAAGAGAUGAGAUAGAGAGAAUCAUACAUAGAGAUUAUACUGGUUCACUCAAUCAUAGAGCUACAUCCAGUCCUUAGUCAAACAACUGAGUUUUCACUAUGCAAUCAAUCAAAUAUUAC
RNAcentral lists this long non-coding RNA (883 nucleotides) under Phaseolus vulgaris (common bean). RNAcentral describes it as "long non-coding RNA (PVUL_LNC003983)". The record is from RNAcentral. Lineage: Eukaryota; Viridiplantae; Streptophyta; Magnoliopsida; Fabales; Fabaceae.